This is a long non-coding RNA of Bombyx mori (domestic silkworm), 587 nucleotides long. RefSeq lists it as uncharacterized. The record is from RefSeq and is a predicted model, not a curated record. The transcript is spliced from 2 exons. NCBI's taxonomy places the organism in Eukaryota, Metazoa, Arthropoda, Insecta, Lepidoptera, Bombycidae.
GUAUUAUCUCAAAAACAGUAAUGCUGUACUGUACUGUGUCAUUCAAAAUGAAUAACUAAGAAACGAUUAAAAUGAAGUGGUCGGGGUGAUUGUAAAACAACAGAAAAUGAUGCAAAUCGUAAUCUCGUUGCCGUUAAGUUGUGGGUGUGCGAAAGAGAUGACGACAAUUUAAAUAUGUCUAUAACUCACAGUUUUCUAUAAUUCGACAGAUAAUCUAAACUGAAAUGACAGAUUGAUUUGACAGAUAAUCAGAAAACUGCGAAAACGCGACGCAAGCCGCUUGUAUUAUAAUGAACAAUAGCAAGUAUCGAAAGUGGCGUAGACUGAAAGCAGCCUAAGCUUGCGAUCACGUACUCGGCGGGUCGGCGUGUGUGAGCAGCUGGACGUCGUUGGCGCGGCAGAACGCGUGCAGGGCCGGCGGGACCACGCAGCACGAGGCCAGGUUGAUCUGCGCGAUGGCGGGACGGACGCGGGACCACGCGUGCAGCACCCUCAGGCAGCCGCCACCCACGUCCGCCACGCCGAGCUGCUUCACGCGUCCUUGAAAGACAAUUGAAUUCGAAAAUUAAAUCAAAUGUCAACAUAUA